GAUCUCGGGACGGGGAGAGCGGUCCGCCUCUUUUGGUGUGCACUGAUGCUCUCCGUCCUUUCUGUCGGGGACGCGCUCCUGGCCUUGAUUGGCUGGGACGCGGAGUCGACGAUGUUACUUUGAAAAAAUUAGAGUGCUCAAAGCAAGCCUAUGCUCUGAAUACAUUAGCAUGGAAUAACGCGAUAGGACUCUGGUCCUGUUCCGUUGGUCUUCGGGACCGGAGUAAUGAUUAAUAGGGACGGUUGGGGGCAUUCGUAUUUCAUUGUCAGAGGUGAAAUUCUUGGAUUUAUGAAAGACGAACUUCUGCGAAAGCAUUUGCCAAGGAUGUUUUCAUUAAUCAAGAACGAAAGUUGGGGGCUCGAAGACGAUCAGAUACCGUCCUAGUCUCAACCAUAAACGAUGCCGACUAGGGAUUCGCGGGUGUUAAUUUGAUGACCCCKCGAGCWCCUUAUGAGAAANCAAUAAUAUUUUGGGUUCCUGGGGGAGUNAUGGUCGCUWGGCUGAAACUUAAAAGG
RNAcentral lists this ribosomal RNA (515 nucleotides) under uncultured eukaryote. RNAcentral's name for it is "SSU rRNA". It matches the Rfam family "Eukaryotic small subunit ribosomal RNA", at positions 639 to 1162 of the family's 1831-position model. The record is from RNAcentral.